UACGAAGGGGGCUAGCGUUGCUCGGAAUCACUGGGCGUAAAGGGUGCGUAGGCGGGUCUUUAAGUCAGGGGUGAAAUCCUGGAGCUCAACUCCAGAACUGCCUUCGAUACUGGAGAGCUUGAGUCCGGGAGAGGUGAGUGGAACUGCGAGUGUAGAGGUGAAAUUCGUAGAUAUUCGCAAGAACACCAGCGGCGAAGGCGGCUCACUGGCCCGGUACUGACGCUGAGGUGCGAAAGCGUGGGGAGCAAACAGG
RNAcentral lists this ribosomal RNA (253 nucleotides) under uncultured bacterium. Its description in RNAcentral is "partial 16S ribosomal RNA". It matches the Rfam family "Bacterial small subunit ribosomal RNA", at positions 524 to 776 of the family's 1533-position model. The record is from RNAcentral.